GAUGAACGCUGGCGGCGUGCCUAAUACAUGCAAGUCGAGCGAACAGACGAGGAGCUUGCUCCUCUGACGUUAGCGGCGGACGGGUGAGUAACACGUGGAUAACCUCCCUAUAAGACUGGGAUAACUUCGGGAAACCGGAGCUAAUACCGGAUAAUAUAUUGAACCGCAUGGUUCAAUAGUGAAAGACGGUUUUGCUGUCACUUAUAGAUGGAUCCGCGCCGCAUUAGCUAGUUGGUAAGGUAACGGCUUACCAAGGCAACGAUGCGUAGCCGACCUGAGAGGGUGGUCCGGCACACGGGAACGGAGAAGCGGUCCAGACUCCUACGGGGGGCAGCAGUAGGGAAUCCUCCGCGAGGGGGGAAAGCCUGACGGAGCAACGCCGCGUGAGUGAUGAAGGUCUUCGGAUCGUAAAACUCUGUUAUUAGGGAAGAACAAACGUGUAAGUAACUAUGCACGUCUUGACGGUACCUAAUCAGAAAGCCACGGCUAACUACGUG
Molecule: ribosomal RNA, 497 nt
Filed under: uncultured bacterium
Lineage: Bacteria
Description: partial 16S ribosomal RNA
Rfam family: Bacterial small subunit ribosomal RNA
Source: RNAcentral